CUUUCCAGGAACAGAAGUGCAUAGGAAAGCAGCUCUGGAAGUCAGGGAAGGGGUGGGGCCUGUGGGAGGAAGGAGCUGCUUGUGUUCACGGCUCCUGCUGCUCCCUGAGGCCCGAGCCUCACCCCACAGCUCUGAACCGAACCUGGCUGCCUUCUCCGGAUAUGGCAACAGCAGCCUCUACACAGUUCUGGAGGCUGAAGAAUCCGAAAUCAGGAUGCUGGCAGAUACAGUAUUUGGACAGUGUGAUGAAGUCAUUCUUUCUGCCAUGUUGCUGCUUCUCCCAGGAUGCCCGGUACUCAGGGAGAUCAAUGGUGUGAACGUAACCGGCACCCAGACCAGACUCAGCC
RNAcentral lists this long non-coding RNA (347 nucleotides) under Heterocephalus glaber (naked mole-rat). RNAcentral's name for it is "lncRNA (ENSHGLG00000033022.1)". Lineage: Eukaryota; Metazoa; Chordata; Mammalia; Rodentia; Bathyergidae. The record is from RNAcentral.